This 1190-nucleotide long non-coding RNA is filed under the name Gouania willdenowi (blunt-snouted clingfish). Its description in RNAcentral is "lncRNA (ENSGWIG00000015356.1)". The record is from RNAcentral. Lineage: Eukaryota; Metazoa; Chordata; Actinopteri; Blenniiformes; Gobiesocidae.
GUGAGAUGUCAUCAUGGACCAAUGUCUCUGCUUCAGGACAAAAAUAAACCUCCUGCACUUGUUUACACAACAUGGAGUGACAUGAGGACAUGUGAGGGUGUGUCUGUGUAACAUUGUCACACACGCCCUCUAGUGAAAGGCAUGUGAAACUGCAGCACAGAAAUAACCUGUUACGAUCCUCCUGAAAAUCACAGGAAACAGGUUUUUUCAAGCCUUGUUGUACAGGAAGUUUGCAUGUUCUCCUCCCUCUGAUGUCAACAGUCGUUUCUUUUGUCCGUAGUAAAAACUCUGAUUACGUCUGUUUUUUAAAAAGUCACAGGGACACAUCGGUCAGCACAUGUUGGACAACACGACGUCAAACGUGAUGUUGGACAGUUAAAAAGCAACAAUUUACAGAAAAUGACAUAAUGAUUAAAACACAGUUUUCCUUUAAAACCUUUAUUUUAUUGAAGCUUAUAUGAGCUGCUGUGGUCCACACAGUGGAAAUAAACCUCAUCCUGACUAAAGAUCUCAUCUACGUUCUCUCCCUCAGUCAGGAUUCAUCCUUUGGUUUCCUUUCACAACAGGUCGUAUUCAUGUCAUGGCACAUUUGUCUGAAACUACUUUAUAUUAUUUAUCACAGCAGGACCACAACAAUGUGACCUGAGGGUCACAUGAUCAACAUUCAUGUCAGCAUUUAGAAUAAUGAAUUUUGUUUUAAUGGUUAGGAUUUGGGCUUAUUUUUCUGUACUUCUGUCAUUGUGUAUUUUUUUAGUUACUUUGUGUAUUUAUUUUGGCAUUUAGUAUAUUUUUCAGUAAGUUUUGUGUACAUUAGUAGUAAUUUUGUGUUUUGGGGCCAAUUUGUGUAUUUUUCAAUGUUAUGAGUCAUUUUAAGUAUUUCUGUUGUUCUUUUGUUUAUUUUAAUGUUUUUUUGUACAUUUUAAGUUUUCGUGUGUUUUUGGGGUAGUGUUGUGUGUUUUUAUUUUCCAUUAGUAUAUUUUUGGAGUAAUUUGUCCAUGUUUGUUAUUAUUUUGUAUAUUUCUCUGUUGUUUUGUGUGUUUGUGGUCAUUUAGUUAUUUUGUGUUAUUAGUAAUACAGGAAGGAUCAAAGGGUUUGUGUGUCUUCAGAAACAUUAUGUGAGGUCAUUCUGAGCACUGAGGUUAAGUUAAAUCCUGUCCCUUCUGUGCAUGUAAAUACUGUAUUUACAGUAA